UACGUAGGGCGCAGGCGUUGUCCGGAAUUAUUGGGCGUAAAGAGCUCGUAGGCGGUUUGUCGCGUCUGCUGUGAAAACCUAAGGCUCAACCUUGGGCUUGCAGUGGGUACGGGCAGACUAGAGUGCGGUAGGGGUGACUGGAAUUCCUGGUGUAGCGGUGGAAUGCGCAGAUAUCAGGAGGAACACCGAUGGCGAAGGCAGGUCACUGGGCCGCAACUGACGCUGAGGAGCGAAAGCAUGGGGAGCGAACAGG
This 253-nucleotide ribosomal RNA is filed under the name uncultured bacterium. RNAcentral's name for it is "partial 16S ribosomal RNA". It matches the Rfam family "Bacterial small subunit ribosomal RNA", at positions 524 to 776 of the family's 1533-position model. The record is from RNAcentral.